AAAUUCUUCCCACCCCUAGCGGGAGCUUCACUGACUCAAUGGCUGCAGUGAGCUCAUCGCUGCAGGCUAGCCGAGGCUGGUCCACCUCAAAGAGGCACAUAUCGCAAUCUAUCCAUGGUUUUCUGCUGUCUUUACUCUCCCGGAGGUCGGAGGAGCCGCCGGUGGAUCAUCAGCAUCGAUUCAGUCGUUCGGCUCGUUCCUAGCUACCGCAAGCAUAAUUU
RNAcentral lists this long non-coding RNA (221 nucleotides) under Setaria italica (foxtail millet). RNAcentral's name for it is "long non-coding RNA (SITA_LNC006004)". Lineage: Eukaryota; Viridiplantae; Streptophyta; Magnoliopsida; Poales; Poaceae. The record is from RNAcentral.